Molecule: ribosomal RNA, 511 nt
Filed under: uncultured bacterium
Lineage: Bacteria
Description: bacterial SSU rRNA
Rfam family: Bacterial small subunit ribosomal RNA
Source: RNAcentral
GGUUAAGCGCAGAUGAAGCGCUAUGCCACCUGGGGAGUACGGCCGCAUAUGGUUGAAUACUCAAAGGAAUGUCGGACGGGGGCCCGUACAAGCAGUGGAUUAUGUGGUGUAAUUCGAAGCAACGCGAAGAACCUUACCCAGGUCUUGACAUCCAACUAACGAGAUACGAGAUAUGUUAGGUGCCCUUCGGGGAAAGUUGAGACAGGUGGUGCAUGGUUGUCGUCAGCUCGUGUCGUGAGAUGUUGGGUUAAGUCCCGCAACGAGCGCAACCCCUGCCAUUAGUUGCUACGCAAGAGCACUCUAAUGGGACCGCUACCGACAAGGUGGAGGAAGGUGGGGACGACGUCAAAUCAUCAUGCCCCUUAUGACCUGGGCUACACACGUAAUACAAUGGCCGUUAACAGAAGAGAUAGCAAAGGGGCGAGGCAGAGCAAAACUCCAAAAACGGUCCCAGUUCGGAUUGUAUGUCUGCAACCCGGAAUACAUGAAGUUGGAAUUUCUAGUAAUCGGG